This 77-nucleotide transfer RNA is filed under the name Candidatus Bathyarchaeota archaeon ex4484_135. RNAcentral describes it as "tRNA-Glu". It matches the Rfam family "tRNA". From Rfam's summary of the family: Transfer RNA (tRNA) molecules are approximately 80 nucleotides in length. RNAcentral also lists the same sequence under 1 other name. Lineage: Archaea; Thermoproteati; Candidatus Bathyarchaeota. The record is from RNAcentral.
GCUCCGGUGGUGUAGCCCGGAAGCAUGGCGGCCUCUCGAGCCGCAGGUCCCGGGUUCAAAUCCCGGCCGGAGCACCA